GACGAACGCUGGCGGCGUGCUUAACACAUGCAAGUCGAACGGAAAGGCCCUGCUUUUGUGGGGUGCUCGAGUGGCGAACGGGUGAGUAACACGUGAGUAACCUGCCCUUGACUUUGGGAUAACUUCAGGAAACUGGGGCUAAUACCGGAUAGGAGCUCCUGCUGCAUGGUGGGGGUUGGAAAGUUUCGGCGGUUGGGGAUGGACUCGCGGCUUAUCAGCUUGUUGGUGGGGUAGUGGCUUACCAAGGCUUUGACGGGUAGCCGGCCUGAGAGGGUGACCGGCCACAUUGGGACUGAGAUACGGCCCAGACUCCUACGGGAGGCAGCAGUGGGGAAUAUUGCACAAUGGGCGGAAGCCUGAUGCAGCAACGCCGCGUGCGGGAUGACGGCCUUCGGGUUGUAAACCGCUUUCGCCUGUGACGAAGCGUGAGUGACGGUAAUGGGUAAAGAAGCACCGGCUAACUACGUGCCAGCAGCCGCGGUGAUACGUAGGGUGCGAGCGUUGUCCGGAUUUAUUGGGCGUAAAGGGCUCGUAGGUGGUUGAUCGCGUCGGAAGUGUAAUCUUGGGGCUUAACCCUGAGCGUGCUUUCGAUACGGGUUGACUUGAGGAAGGUAGGGGAGAAUGGAAUUCCUGGUGGAGCGGUGGAAUGCGCAGAUAUCAGGAGGAACACCAGUGGCGAAGGCGGUUCUCUGGGCCUUUCCUGACGCUGAGGAGCGAAAGCGUGGGGAGCGAACAGGCUUAGAUACCCUGGUAGUCCACGCUGUAAACGGUGGGUACUAGGUGUGGGGUCCAUUCCACGGGUUCCGUGCCGUAGCUAACGCUUUAAGUACCCCGCCUGGGGAGUACGGCCGCAAGGCUAAAACUCAAAGGAAUUGACGGGGCCCCGCACAAGCGGCGGAGCAUGCGGAUUAAUUCGAUGCAACGCGUAGAACCUUACCUGGGUUUGACAUGGAUCGGGAGUGCUCAGAGAUGGGUGUGCCUCUUUUGGGGUCGGUUCACAGGUGGUGCAUGCCUGUCGUCAGCUCGUGUCGUGAGAUGCUGGGUUAAGUCCCGCAACGAGCGCAACCCUUGUUCACUGUUGCCAGCACGUUAUGGUGGGGACUCAGUGGAGACCGCCGGGGUCAACUCGGAGGAAGGUGGGGAUGACGUCAAGUCAUCAUGCCCCUUAUGUCCAGGGCUUCACGCAUGCUACAAUGGCUGGUACAGAGAGUGGCGAGCCUGUGAGGGUGAGCGAAUCUCGGAAAGCCGGUCUCAGUUCGGAUUGGGGUCUGCAACUCGACCUCAUGAAGUCGGAGUCGCUAGUAAUCGCAAAUCAGCAACGCUGCGGUGAAUACGUUCCCGGGGCU
This 1346-nucleotide ribosomal RNA is filed under the name uncultured bacterium. RNAcentral describes it as "partial 16S ribosomal RNA". It matches the Rfam family "Bacterial small subunit ribosomal RNA", at positions 28 to 1381 of the family's 1533-position model. The record is from RNAcentral.